UGCCAGCAGCCGCGGUAAUACGGAGGGUGCGAGCGUUAAUCGGAAUUACUGGGCGUAAAGCGCGCGUAGGCGGUUUAAUAAGUUGGAUGUGAAAUCCCCGGGCUUAACCUGGGAACUGCAUCCAAAACUGUUAGGCUAGAGUGCGAUAGAGGGGGGUAGAAUUUCCGGUGUAGCGGUGAAAUGCGUAGAGAUCGGAAGGAAUACCAGUGGCGAAGGCGGCCCCCUGGAUUGACACUGACGCUGAGGUGCGAAAGCGUGGGGAGCAAACAGGAUUAGAUA
This 279-nucleotide ribosomal RNA is filed under the name uncultured bacterium. RNAcentral's name for it is "partial 16S ribosomal RNA". It matches the Rfam family "Bacterial small subunit ribosomal RNA", at positions 506 to 784 of the family's 1533-position model. The record is from RNAcentral.